AAUCAACGCUGGCGGCGUGCCUAACACAUGCAAGUCGAACGCGAAAGCCCGCAAGGGUAAGUAGAGUGGCGCACGGGUGAGUAACACGUGGACAACCUGCCUUCGAGUGGGGAAUAACCUUCCGAAAGGAGGGCUAAUACCGCAUAACACCUCGGGACACAAGUUCUGGGGUUGAAAAGAGCAAUUUGCUCGAAGAGGGGUCCGCGCCUGAUUAGCUAGUUGGUGAGGUAACGGCUCACCAAGGCUUCGAUCAGUAGCCGUCCUGAGAGGGAGCACGGCCACACUGGAACUGAGACACGGUCCAGACUCCUACGGGAGGCAGCAGUGGGGAAUUUUGGCAAUGGGCGAAAGCCUGACCAAGCAACGCCGCGUGGGUGAUGAAGUAUCUUGGUACGUAAAACCCUUUCGGCAGGGACGAACCUAAUGACGGUACCUGCGGAAGAAGCCCCGGCUAACUCCGUGCCAGCCGCCGCCGUAAG
This 479-nucleotide ribosomal RNA is filed under the name uncultured bacterium. Its description in RNAcentral is "bacterial SSU rRNA". It matches the Rfam family "Bacterial small subunit ribosomal RNA", at positions 32 to 524 of the family's 1533-position model. The record is from RNAcentral.